GACGAACGCUGGCGGCGCGCCUAAUACAUGCAAGUUGAGCGCUGAAGGUUGGUACUUGUACCGACUGGAUGAGCAGCGAACGGGUGAGUAACGCGUGGGGAAUCUGCCUUUGAGCGGGGGACAACAUUUGGAAACGAAUGCUAAUACCGCAUAAAAACUUUAAACACAAGUUUUAAGUUUGAAAGAUGCAAUUGCAUCACUCAAAGAUGAUCCCGCGUUGUAUUAGCUAGUUGGUGAGGUAAAGGCUCACCAAGGCGAUGAUACAUAGCCGACCUGAGAGGGUGAUCGGCCACAUUGGGACUGAGACACGGCCCAAACUCCUACGGGAGGCAGCAGUAGGGAAUCUUCGGCAAUGGACGAAAGUCUGACCGAGCAACGCCGCGUGAGUGAAGAAGGUUUUCGGAUCGUAAAACUCUGUUGGUAGAGAAGAACGUUGGUGAGAGUGGAAAGCUCAUCAAGUGACGGUAACUACCCAGAAAGGGACGGCUAACUACGUG
This 497-nucleotide ribosomal RNA is filed under the name uncultured bacterium. Its description in RNAcentral is "partial 16S ribosomal RNA". It matches the Rfam family "Bacterial small subunit ribosomal RNA", at positions 28 to 507 of the family's 1533-position model. The record is from RNAcentral.